AAACAUGUCUUAUUGAAAAUAAUUUUAAGUCAAUCUGCCCAAUGAGUAAUUAAAUGGCUGCAGUAUAUCUGACUGUACAAAGGUAGCAUAAUCAAUUGAUUUUUAAAUGAAAUCUGGAAUGAAAGGAUUAAUGAAAUAUAUACUGUCUCAUGUUUAUUAUAUGAAUUUAAAAUUUUAAUAAAAAUGUUAAAAUUUAUUUAUGGGACGAUAAGACCCUAUAGAAUUUUAUAUUAAUUUAUUUUUAUAUAAAAUAUAAAAUUUAAAUUAAUAUUUAAUUGGGAGAAUUAUUAAAUUUAAUAAAUUUUAAUUUUUUAAAAACUUAAAUUUAAGAAAAAAUUAUGAUUUAUAUUUUAUAAUUAUUAGAUUAAAUUACCUUAGGGAUAACAGCGUUAUAUUUUUUUAUAGAUCGUAUAGAAAAAAAUGAUUGCGACCUCGAUGUUGAAUUAAGAUAAAUUUUAAAUGCAGAAGUUUAAUAAUUAAGUCUGUUCGACUUUUAAAAUCUUACAUGAUUUGAGUUCAAAUCGACGUAAGU
RNAcentral lists this ribosomal RNA (532 nucleotides) under Tetragonisca angustula. Its description in RNAcentral is "partial 16S ribosomal RNA". The stretch from base 380 to 532 matches the Rfam family "Bacterial large subunit ribosomal RNA", at positions 2473 to 2626 of the family's 2925-position model. The record is from RNAcentral. Lineage: Eukaryota; Metazoa; Arthropoda; Insecta; Hymenoptera; Apidae.